CGGCUGAAGAAUUUGGAAUCUGUUGAGACCUUGUUGGAGAGAGAGCACUAACCGCUGUGAUCUUCCUUUUGUUUGAUCCAGAGGACCUUGACGCGAGACGAGUUUCUCGACGUCCGGAUUUGGACUGAUCGGACCUUUUUUAUUGGAGGCGGGUACUUUUGACUUAUUGUCUUUGAUAUGCUU
This is a long non-coding RNA of Zingiber officinale, 183 nucleotides long. RefSeq lists it as uncharacterized. NCBI's taxonomy places the organism in Eukaryota, Viridiplantae, Streptophyta, Magnoliopsida, Zingiberales, Zingiberaceae. The transcript is spliced from 3 exons. The record is from RefSeq and is a predicted model, not a curated record.